GGGUCGUUAGCUCAGUCGGUAGAGCAUCUGCCUUUUAAGCAGAGUGUCACAGGUUCGAACCCUGUACGACCCACAA
Molecule: transfer RNA, 76 nt
Filed under: bacterium (Candidatus Torokbacteria) CG_4_10_14_0_2_um_filter_35_8
Lineage: Bacteria
Description: tRNA-Lys
Rfam family: tRNA
About the family: Transfer RNA (tRNA) molecules are approximately 80 nucleotides in length.
Source: RNAcentral